GGGUUGUGAGGUUAAGCGACUAAGCGUACACGGUGGAUGCCCUGGCAGUCAGAGGCGAUGAAGGACGUGCUAAUCUGCGAUAAGCGUCGGUGAGGUGAUAUGAACCGUUAUAACCGGCGAUUUCCGAAUGGGGAAACCCAGUGUGUUUCGACACACUAUCAUUAACUGAAUCCAUAGGUUAAUGAGGCGAACCGGGGGAACUGAAACAUCUAAGUACCCCGAGGAAAAGAAAUCAACCGAGAUUCCCCCAGUAGCGGCGAGCGAACGGGGAGGAGCCCAGAGCCUGAAUCAGUGUGUGUGUUAGUGGAAGCGUCUGGAAAGGCGCGCGAUACAGGGUGACAGCCCCGUACACAAAAAUGCACAUAUUGUGAGCUCGAUGAGUAGGGCGGGACACGUGGUAUCCUGUCUGAAUAUGGGGGGACCAUCCUCCAAGGCUAAAUACUCCUGACUGACCGAUAGUGAACCAGUACCGUGAGGGAAAGGCGAAAAGAACCCCGGCGAGGGGAGUGAAAAAGAACCUGAAACCGUGUACGUACAAGCAGUGGGAGCCUCUUAAUGGGGUGACUGCGUACCUUUUGUAUAAUGGGUCAGCGACUUAUAUUCUGUAGCAAGGUUAACCGAAUAGGGGAGCCGAAGGGAAACCGAGUCUUAACUGGGCGUUAAGUUGCAGGGUAUAGACCCGAAACCCGGUGAUCUAGCCAUGGGCAGGUUGAAGGUUGGGUAACACUAACUGGAGGACCGAACCGACUAAUGUUGAAAAAUUAGCGGAUGACUUGUGGCUGGGGGUGAAAGGCCAAUCAAACCGGGAGAUAGCUGGUUCUCCCCGAAAGCUAUUUAGGUAGCGCCUCGUGAAUUCAUCUCCGGGGGUAGAGCACUGUUUCGGCAAGGGGGUCAUCCCGACUUACCAACCCGAUGCAAACUGCGAAUACCGGAGAAUGUUAUCACGGGAGACACACGGCGGGUGCUAACGUCCGUCGUGAAGAGGGAAACAACCCAGACCGCCAGCUAAGGUCCCAAAGUCAUGGUUAAGUGGGAAACGAUGUGGGAAGGCCCAGACAGCCAGGAUGUUGGCUUAGAAGCAGCCAUCAUUUAAAGAAAGCGUAAUAGCUCACUGGUUGAGUCGGCCUGCGCGGAAGAUGUAACGGGGCUAAACCAUGCACCGAAGCUGCGGCAGCGACGCUUAUGCGUUGUUGGGUAGGGGAGCGUUCUGUAAGCCUGUGAAGGUGGCCUGUGAGGGUUGCUGGAGGUAUCAGAAGUGCGAAUGCUGACAUAAGUAACGAUAAAGCGGGUGAAAAGCCCGCUCGCCGGAAGACCAAGGGUUCCUGUCCAACGUUAAUCGGGGCAGGGUGAGUCGACUCCUAAGGCGAGGCCGAAAGGCGUAGUCGAUGGGAAACAGGUUAAUAUUCCUGUACUUGGUGUUACUGCGAAGGGGGGACGGAGAAGGCUAUGUUGGCCGGGCGACGGUUGUCCCGGUUUAAGCGUGUAGGCUGGUUUUCCAGGCAAAUCCGGAAAAUCAAGGCUGAGGCGUGAUGACGAGGCACUACGGUGCUGAAGCAACAAAUGCCCUGCUUCCAGGAAAAGCCUCUAAGCAUCAGGUAACAUCAAAUCGUACCCCAAACCGACACAGGUGGUCAGGUAGAGAAUACCAAGGCGCUUGAGAGAACUCGGGUGAAGGAACUAGGCAAAAUGGUGCCGUAACUUCGGGAGAAGGCACGCUGAUAUGUAGGUGAAGCGACUUGCUCGUGGAGCUGAAAUCAGUCGAAGAUACCAGCUGGCUGCAACUGUUUAUUAAAAACACAGCACUGUGCAAACACGAAAGUGGACGUAUACGGUGUGACGCCUGCCCGGUGCCGGAAGGUUAAUUGAUGGGGUUAGCGGUAACGCGAAGCUCUUGAUCGAAGCCCCGGUAAACGGCGGCCGUAACUAUAACGGUCCUAAGGUAGCGAAAUUCCUUGUCGGGUAAGUUCCGACCUGCACGAAUGGCGUAAUGAUGGCCAGGCUGUCUCCACCCGAGACUCAGUGAAAUUGAACUCGCUGUGAAGAUGCAGUGUACCCGCGGCAAGACGGAAAGACCCCGUGAACCUUUACUAUAGCUUGACACUGAACAUUGAGCCUUGAUGUGUAGGAUAGGUGGGAGGCUUUGAAGUGUGGACGCCAGUCUGCAUGGAGCCGACCUUGAAAUACCACCCUUUAAUGUUUGAUGUUCUAACGUUGGCCCGUAAUCCGGGUUGCGGACAGUGUCUGGUGGGUAGUUUGACUGGGGCGGUCUCCUCCUAAAGAGUAACGGAGGAGCACGAAGGUUGGCUAAUCCUGGUCGGACAUCAGGAGGUUAGUGCAAUGGCAUAAGCCAGCUUGACUGCGAGCGUGACGGCGCGAGCAGGUGCGAAAGCAGGUCAUAGUGAUCCGGUGGUUCUGAAUGGAAGGGCCAUCGCUCAACGGAUAAAAGGUACUCCGGGGAUAACAGGCUGAUACCGCCCAAGAGUUCAUAUCGACGGCGGUGUUUGGCACCUCGAUGUCGGCUCAUCACAUCCUGGGGCUGAAGUAGGUCCCAAGGGUAUGGCUGUUCGCCAUUUAAAGUGGUACGCGAGCUGGGUUUAGAACGUCGUGAGACAGUUCGGUCCCUAUCUGCCGUGGGCGCUGGAGAACUGAGGGGGGCUGCUCCUAGUACGAGAGGACCGGAGUGGACGCAUCACUGGUGUUCGGGUUGUCAUGCCAAUGGCACUGCCCGGUAGCUAAAUGCGGAAGAGAUAAGUGCUGAAAGCAUCUAAGCACGAAACUUGCCCCGAGAUGAGUUCUCCCUGAGACUUAGAGUCUCCUGAAGGAACGUUGAAGACGACGACGUUGAUAGGCCGGGUGUGUAAGCGCAGCGAUGCGUUGAGCUAACCGGUACUAAUGAACCGUGAGGCUUAACCUUACAACGCCGAAG
This 2926-nucleotide ribosomal RNA is filed under the name Escherichia coli O84:H7. RNAcentral describes it as "23S ribosomal RNA". It matches the Rfam family "Bacterial large subunit ribosomal RNA". Lineage: Bacteria; Pseudomonadati; Pseudomonadota; Gammaproteobacteria; Enterobacterales; Enterobacteriaceae. The record is from RNAcentral.